This 465-nucleotide ribosomal RNA is filed under the name Vreelandella stevensii. RNAcentral's name for it is "partial 16S ribosomal RNA". It matches the Rfam family "Bacterial small subunit ribosomal RNA", at positions 338 to 795 of the family's 1533-position model. The record is from RNAcentral. Lineage: Bacteria; Pseudomonadati; Pseudomonadota; Gammaproteobacteria; Oceanospirillales; Halomonadaceae.
CCUACGGGUGGCAGCAGUGGGGAAUAUUGGACAAUGGGCGAAAGCCUGAUCCAGCCAUGCCGCGUGUGUGAAGAAGGCCUUCGGGUUGUAAAGCACUUUCAGUGGGGAAGAAAGCCUUGGGGCUAAUACCCUCGAGGAAGGACAUCACCCACAGAAGAAGCACCGGCUAACUCCGUGCCAGCAGCCGCGGUAAUACGGAGGGUGCGAGCGUUAAUCGGAAUUACUGGGCGUAAAGCGCGCGUAGGCGGUCUGAUAAGCCGGUUGUGAAAGCCCCGGGCUCAACCUGGGAACGGCAUCCGGAACUGUCGGGCUAGAGUGCAGGAGAGGAAGGUAGAAUUCCCGGUGUAGCGGUGAAAUGCGUAGAGAUCGGGAGGAAUACCAGUGGCGAAGGCGGCCUUCUGGACUGACACUGACGCUGAGGUGCGAAAGCGUGGGUAGCAAUCAGGAUUAGAUACCCGGGUAGUC